This 549-nucleotide ribosomal RNA is filed under the name uncultured eukaryote. Its description in RNAcentral is "bacterial SSU rRNA". It matches the Rfam family "Eukaryotic small subunit ribosomal RNA", at positions 9 to 561 of the family's 1831-position model. The record is from RNAcentral.
UGAUCCUGCCAGUAGUCAUAUGCUUGCUCAAAGAUUAAGCCAUGCAUGUCUAAGUAUAAGCAAUUAUACAGCGAAACUGCGAAUGGCUCAUUAUAUAAGUUAUCGUUUAUUUGAUAGUGCCUUACUACUUGGAUAACCGUGGUAAUUCUAGAGCUAAUACAUGCGUCAAGCCCCGACUCACGAAGGGGUGUAUUUAUUAGAUUCAAAGCCAACCGUGUAAAAAGCGUACCUUGGUGAUUCAUAAUAACUUGUCGAACCGCACGCCCUUGAGGCAGCGGUGAUUCAUUCAAAUUUCUGCCCUAUCAACUUUCGAUGGUAGGAUAGUGGCCUACCAUGGUUUCAACGGGUAACGGGGAAUAAGGGUUCGAUUCCGGAGAGGGAGCCUGAGAAACGGCUACCACAUCCAAGGAAGGCAGCAGGCGCGCAAAUUACCCAAUCCUAAUUCAGGGAGGUAGUGACAAUAAAUAACGAUACAGGGCCCAUUCGGGUCUUGUAAUUGGAAUGAGUACAAUGUAAAUACCUUAACGAGGAACAAUUGGAGGGCAAGUC